AAUGGACAGUGUACCAAAAACGGCUUGACUUGUUUGUAAGUGGUAAACAAUCGUGUUUUUCACAUCGAGGAUUGAUAGUAGACUGUGGACAGCUGUUAAUUUGAAUGGAAAACCCUGAAAAAUCCCACGCCACGAGAAUGCCGUUAAACCCCGUUUGAAAGCGGUUCAUCCCAUGAAAACGCCGUUAAAAGCAGUUUGUUUGAAUUUGUUUCUGAAAGUCGGUGCGCCUGUAAGGUAUGCAAGCCGCAGGACACUGCUGCCACAGGAAGGAUAUUUUUUGUGCCAUGUUUGGCAAGGUAUGAACCUCAGCGAUUCCGCAAAACAACUUAGUCGCGAAGUUUUACUUUGGUAAGGAAGGAAAGUAAAAAUGUUUGCCAUUGGUUUCUCUUUUUUUGUACCCAUUUUUCCUCCAAUUCUAUACGCAA
Long non-coding RNA from Anopheles merus, 425 nucleotides. RefSeq lists it as uncharacterized. The transcript is spliced from 3 exons. The record is from RefSeq and is a predicted model, not a curated record. Lineage: Eukaryota; Metazoa; Arthropoda; Insecta; Diptera; Culicidae.